This 73-nucleotide transfer RNA is filed under the name Lodderomyces parapsilosis. RNAcentral describes it as "Candida parapsilosis tRNA-Ala". It matches the Rfam family "tRNA". Rfam says of the family: Transfer RNA (tRNA) molecules are approximately 80 nucleotides in length. Their secondary structure includes four short double-helical elements and three loops (D, anti-codon, and T loops). Lineage: Eukaryota; Fungi; Ascomycota; Pichiomycetes; Serinales; Debaryomycetaceae. The record is from RNAcentral.
GGGAUUAUAGAUUAAUUGGUAAAUCUUACGCUUUGCAUGCGUAUGUUAUCGGUUCAAUUCCGAUUAAUUCCAG